This 118-nucleotide ribosomal RNA is filed under the name Pseudoalteromonas sp. SR43-7. RNAcentral's name for it is "partial 16S ribosomal RNA". It matches the Rfam family "Bacterial small subunit ribosomal RNA", at positions 1 to 110 of the family's 1533-position model. The record is from RNAcentral. Lineage: Bacteria; Pseudomonadati; Pseudomonadota; Gammaproteobacteria; Alteromonadales; Pseudoalteromonadaceae.
UUAAUUGAAGAGUUUGAUCAUGGCUCAGAUUGAACGCUGGCGGCAGGCCUAACACAUGCAAGUCGAGCGGUAACAGAAAGUAGCUUGCUACUUUGCUGACGAGCGGCGGACGGGUGAG